CCCGGUCCCUCCUCCCGCCGAGACCCGCCCCCGACGCUGCAGCUCCGCCGGCCGCGCCCGCUGCGGGGUUCCUGCGCGCGCCUGAGGCCCGAGCCCGGAGACCGGACCGCAGGCCCUGCGCGCCGCGCCCUUGCUUUCUAUCAACAGGCGCGGAGGUGUCCACUGUGGAGCCGGGGCUUCCGGUGUCACCGGCUCGGAACCUGUUGCGCCGUCCCGCCCGCGCUGGGAGCGGGUUCUGCCGGCGCGAGUAGGCGAGUGUGAGCGCCCCGCCCUCCGUGAAAGGAGGGGUGAGCCUGCUCUAGGUGGGGGGGGCUCGGAUCCCCACUGAGUGGUUUGCACCGCAUGGCCGUGGGCUCGGAGCGCGGGUUGUGUCCGGGGACGCAGCCAGGAGCAAGUGGCCGCCCUCAGAUCUGGAAGGAGGGCCUUUCGAGGGAGGAGGUGGGUGAGGCCACAGUUGCACCUGGAGAAAAUCUCUGAGUCAUCGCGCUGACCCACCAGGCUGGGAAGGUGCGGCAGCAGAGGGGAGAGCAGCGACUCCGCCGGACUGCAGCGCUUUAAAAAGCAGGAAGAAGAUGUGUGUGUAAGCUGUGCAGCACACGUGAUGGGCAGUGUGGCGCUACACCAGCAGGUGCCUCCACGUCGCCCAGCAGGGGAGGAGACCCUGGAGAGCCCCCAGCGCUGAUUACAGCAGGUCAUUAUUCUCGGCAGCCACAAGUCCUAUAAAGUCACCACACACACUGAGUCAGGGAACCCAAACCAUUGCUUCUAGAGGAAAUGCAGACCUAGGUUCCUGUGAGCCUGUGGUCACACAUUUUUGUCAACUGAUUGACAUAGAACCUUGUUUUAUGUGUUAUUGUAUAAAAAUAACUUAUUUAAUACAUAUUGUUGAUUUGAUAAUGUUGAACUCAACCAACAACACAGUAACUCGUGCCUUCAUGACGUUUCUAUGACAUGUAUCUUCUCUGAAAGGCACAUCGCAGCCCUGUGCUUGGGAAUGCUAGACAGCACUUCAGCACCAUGCCUGGGGCCGUUCUAAACUGAAAUCACCAACCAAAAUGUAAAAACAUGACAGACAUGGCACCAAAUGGACUGUGAAAAGGAUGCUGUUCACCGUGCGAGAGCUGAACCUAGAAGGCUGAGAGCAGCCUUGUUCGACCUCAGCUGGGAAUGUGCAGCUGGUAGCUCUAAGUUUCAUGGCUCUACACAUGCACAUGUCCAUCGGCGGCCAAGAAAGUGCUGUCAGUGUUGAUUUUGGAGUUACAAAUAUAUACUAGCAAGUAGGUGAAUUUGCAAAUGUGGAAUCUGUGAGUCAUAAGUAUUGGCUGUGACUCCUUCCUGCAAUAAGUUACUAAGUCACUUCCAUCUCUAUUUCAUUGACCAAAGCAAAUCCUCAGGCCUUGACUGACCUCCAGAGGGUGAGAAAGCGCAGUCGCGCUGUGAUCUCAAAGAACUCAGAUAUUUGAAAGAAGCACCAACGCCAAUCGCUGGUGCCAUUUAGUCAUUCCCUGAUUGUUCCUCACUUGUGGCAGGUUGCAACAUUAUCUCCCAUCCAACAUGCUGGUUAUAAUGUGGCUUCGACACACCUCCCAUCGAGGGAGGGAGGUCCAGGCUCCCUUUCCUUGAAACUGGGCAGGCUUAUGACUACAGCAGAGGCGACACUGUAACUUCUAAGGCUGGGCCACUCAAGACCUCCACAUAGUUCUAAGGACACAGAGCGCCAACAGCCAUGCCAAAGGACGCCCAGCAGACUCCUGGAGAGCCACAUACAGGUUCCUGGCUGAGGGCCUGCUGACAGGGGGCGUCAGCCACCACGUGUGAGGGACCCAGUGUUUGUGCGGCUCCGGCGUCUGCAUUGAGUCACCUCCAGGCAUCCUCGACCCCUCCACACUGAGGCCCCAGCAGUGGUGGCGCAGACACAAGCUAUCCCUGCAGAUCCCACAGAAUCUGAGCCUCAUAAAAUGGUUGUUUUUUAUGCCACUACACUUGGAGUGAUUUAUUUUUCAGGAAUAAUAACCAGAAGAGGUCUUCUGUGGGCGGUGCUGUAGGUGCCGGUGGGGUUUAGUGAUGAAUAAAAUGUGGUUCACAUGUU
Long non-coding RNA from Equus caballus (horse), 2089 nucleotides. RefSeq lists it as uncharacterized. The record is from RefSeq and is a predicted model, not a curated record. NCBI's taxonomy places the organism in Eukaryota, Metazoa, Chordata, Mammalia, Perissodactyla, Equidae.